CCUACGGGAGGCAGCAGUGAGGAAUAUUGGUCAAUGGACGAGAGUCUGAACCAGUCAAGUAGCGUGAAGGAUGACUGCCCUAUGGGUUGUAAACUUCUUUUAUAUGGGAAUAAAAUGUUCCACGUGUGGGAUUUUGUAUGUACCAUAUGAAUAAGGAUCGGCUAAAUCCGUGCCAGCAGCCGCGGUAAUACGGAGGAUCCGAGCGUUAUCCGGAUUUAUUGGGUUUAAAGGGAGCGUAGGCGGAUUGUUAAGUCAGUUGUGAAAGUUUUCGGCUCAAACGUAAAAUUGCAGUUGAAACUGGCAGUCUUGAGUACAGUAGAGGUGGGCGGAAUUCGUGGUGUAGCGGUGAAAUGCUUAGAUAUCACGAAGAACUCCGAUUGCGAAGGCAGUUCACUGGACUGCAACUGACACUGAGGCUCGAAAGUGUGGGUAUCAAACAGGAUUAGAUACCCUUGUAGUC
RNAcentral lists this ribosomal RNA (460 nucleotides) under uncultured bacterium. RNAcentral's name for it is "partial 16S ribosomal RNA". It matches the Rfam family "Bacterial small subunit ribosomal RNA", at positions 338 to 795 of the family's 1533-position model. The record is from RNAcentral.